This 272-nucleotide unclassified non-coding RNA is filed under the name Hevea brasiliensis (rubber tree). The record is from RNAcentral. Lineage: Eukaryota; Viridiplantae; Streptophyta; Magnoliopsida; Malpighiales; Euphorbiaceae.
CGUAUAAAAAAAAAAAAAUUAACCCAAUACAAAAAAUUCUAAAAAAAAUAAAUAAUUUCUUACAUGUAAUGUCAUUUUUUUUUGUAGAAAUGUUAAUGUGGCAUGUCUUUUUUUAGUUUAUAGUACAUGUUAGCUUGCCAUAUCUUGUACGUAUGAGACUAACAACAAAUCUGCAAUUGAAGUCUUAAAACAAUGGAUGACUAUAAUUGAUACCAAAGUUUGGGAUGUAAGUGACAAAAUUGAAAGAUGGACAGAAUUGGUAUGCAUUGUGG